This 489-nucleotide ribosomal RNA is filed under the name uncultured bacterium. RNAcentral describes it as "partial 16S ribosomal RNA". It matches the Rfam family "Bacterial small subunit ribosomal RNA", at positions 28 to 507 of the family's 1533-position model. The record is from RNAcentral.
GACGAACGCUGGCGGCGUGCUUAACACAUGCAAGUCGAACGGAAAGGCCCCCAUCUUGGUGGGGGUGCUCGAGUGGCGAACGGGUGAGUAACACGUGGGUGAUCUGCCCUGUACUUCGGGAUAAGCUUGGGAAACUGGGUCUAAUACCGGAUAGGACCAUGGUUUAGUGUCUCAUGGUGGAAAGAUUAUUGUUUUGGUGCAGGAUGAGCUCGCGGCCUAUCAGCUUGUUGGUGGGGUAAUGGCCUACCAAGGCGUCGACGGGUAGCCGGCCUGAGAGGGUGGACGGCCACAAUGGGACUGAGAUACGGCCCAGACUCCUACGGGAGGCAGCAGUGGGGAAUAUUGCACAAUGGGCGCAAGCCUGAUGCAGCGACGCCGCGUGGGGGAUGACGGCCUUCGGGUUGUAAACUCCUUUCGUUAGGGACGAAGCCGCACUUUUUUUGGGUGUGGUGACGGUACCUUUGUUAAGAAGCACCGGCUAACUACGUG